This 468-nucleotide ribosomal RNA is filed under the name uncultured bacterium. RNAcentral's name for it is "partial 16S ribosomal RNA". It matches the Rfam family "Bacterial small subunit ribosomal RNA", at positions 28 to 507 of the family's 1533-position model. The record is from RNAcentral.
GACGAACGCUGGCGGCGUGCUUAACACAUGCAAGUCGAACGGAAAGGCCCUGCUUUUGUGGGGUGCUCGAGUGGCGAACGGGUGAGUAACACGUGAGUAACCUGCCCUUGACUUUGGGAUAACUUCAGGAAACUGGGGCUAAUACCGGAUAGGAGCUCCUGCUGCAUGGUGGGGGUUGGAAAGUUUCGGCGGUUGGGGAUGGACUCGCGGGUUAUCAGCUUGUUGGUGGGGUAGUGGCUUACCAAGGCUUUGACGGGUAGCCGGCCUGAGAGGGUGACCGGCCACCUUGGGCCUGAGAUACGGCCCAGACUCGUAUGGGAGGCAGCAGUGGGGAAUAUGGCACAAUGGGCGGAAGCCUGAUGCAGCAACGCCGCGUGCGGGAUGACGGCCUUCGGGUUGUAAACCGCUUUCGCCUGUGACGAAGCGUGAGUGACGGUAAUGGGUAAAGAAGCACCGGCUAACUACGUG